GCGAAGGCAGCUUUCUGGAUCAUUACUGACACUGAGGAACGAAAGCAUGGGUAGCGAAGAGGAUUAGAUACCCUCGUAGUCCAUGCCGUAAACGAUGUGUGUUAGACGUUGGAAAUUUAUUUUCAGUGUCGCAGGGAAACCGAUAAACACACCGCCUGGGGAGUACGACCGCAAGGUUAAAACUCAAAUGAAUUGACGGGGACCCGCACAAGUAGUGGAGCAUGUGGUUUAAUUCGAAGAUACGCGCAGAACCUUACCAACACUUGACAUGUUCGUCGCGACUCUAAGAGAUUAGAGUUUUCGGUUCGGCCGGACGAAACACAGGUGCUGCAUGGCUGUCGUCAGCUCGUGUCGUGAGAUGUUGGGUUAAGUCCCGCAACGAGCGCAACCCUCACUUUUAGUUGCCAUCAUUAAGUUGGGCACUCUGAAAGAACUGCCAGUGAUAAGCUGGAGGAAGGUGGGGAUGACGUCAAGUCCUCAUGGCCCUUACGUGUUGGGCUACACACGUGCUACAAUGGCAUCUACAACAGGAAGCAAAACGGCAACGUUAAGCAAAUCCCGAAAAGAUGCCUCAGUUCGGAUUGCACUCUGCAACUCGAGUGCAUGAAGCUGGAAUUACUAGUAAUCGUGGAUCAGCGUGCCACGGUGAAUGCGUUCCCGGGUCUUGUACACACCGCCCGUCACACCAUGGGAGUUGGUUCUACCUUAAGGCAAGGUUUCAAACCCUUGACCACGGUAUAGUCAGCGACUGGGGUGAAGUCGUAACAAGGUAGCCGUA
RNAcentral lists this ribosomal RNA (778 nucleotides) under uncultured bacterium. RNAcentral describes it as "bacterial SSU rRNA". It matches the Rfam family "Bacterial small subunit ribosomal RNA", at positions 715 to 1504 of the family's 1533-position model. The record is from RNAcentral.